RNAcentral lists this ribosomal RNA (468 nucleotides) under uncultured archaeon. RNAcentral describes it as "bacterial SSU rRNA". It matches the Rfam family "Archaeal small subunit ribosomal RNA", at positions 1 to 475 of the family's 1478-position model. The record is from RNAcentral.
UUCUGGUUGAUCCCGCCGGACCUGACUGCUAUCGGAUUGAUACUAAGCCAUGCGAGUCUUUGUAGUAAUACAAGGCAGACGGCUCAGUAACACGUAGUCAACCUACCCUAUGGACGAGAAUAAUCUCGGGAAACUGAGCAUAAUUCUUGAUAGAUCAUAAUGCCUGGAAUGGUUUAUGGUUAAAAUGAUUCGUCGCCAUAGGAUGGGACUGCGGCCUAUCAGCUUGUUGGUGAGGUAAUGGCCCACCAAGGCGAUUACAGGUACGGGCUCUGAGAGGAGAAGCCCGGAGAUGGGUACUGAGACACGGACCCAGGCCCUAUGGGGCGCAGCAGGCGAGAAAACUUUGCAAUGUGCGAAAGCACGACAAGGUUAAUCCGAGUGAUUUCUGCUAAAGAAAUCUUUUGCCAGUCGUAAAACCGCUGGUGAAUAAGGGGUGGGCAAGUUCUGGUGCCAGCAGCCGCGGUAAUA